RNAcentral lists this ribosomal RNA (230 nucleotides) under uncultured bacterium. RNAcentral's name for it is "partial 16S ribosomal RNA". It matches the Rfam family "Bacterial small subunit ribosomal RNA", at positions 561 to 790 of the family's 1533-position model. The record is from RNAcentral.
UAAAGCGCGCGUAGGUGGUUUGUUAAGUUGGAUGUGAAAUCCCCGGGCUCAACCUGGGAACUGCAUCCAAAACUGGCAAGCUAGAGUAUGGUAGAGGGUGGUGGAAUUUCCUGUGUAGCGGUGAAAUGCGUAGAUAUAGGAAGGAACACCAGUGGCGAAGGCGACCACCUGGACUGAUACUGACACUGAGGUGCGAAAGCGUGGGGAGCAAACAGGAUUAGAUACCCGGU